This 165-nucleotide non-coding RNA is filed under the name pig gut metagenome. RNAcentral describes it as "GcvB RNA". It matches the Rfam family "GcvB RNA". From Rfam's summary of the family: The gcvB gene encodes a small untranslated RNA involved in expression of the dipeptide and oligopeptide transport systems in Escherichia coli. Included several unknown homologues in alignment (Bateman A pers obs). The record is from RNAcentral.
AUUGAUUAAGAGUUUUUCUUAGUUAAGUAUUAUGUUGUGUUUGCAUAUUGUUUGGGAAACCAAACGGCGUUAUCUGUUUUUCCGAAUAGAUAACGAUUUAACUUCCUGUAUAUUUUGACCCGAUUUGGGUUAUAAACACCGCACUUCUCUUGCGGUGUUUUUUUA